CCUACGGGAGGCAGCAGUAGGGAAUAUUGCUCAAUGGGGGAAACCCUGAAGCAGCCACGCCGCGUGGAGGAUGAAGGUUUUCGGAUUGUUAACUCUUUUUGUUAGAGAAGAUAAUGACGGUAUCUAACGAAUAAGCACCGGCUAACUCCGUGACAGCAGCCGCGGUAAUCCGGAGGGUGCACGCGUUACUCGGAAUAACUGGGGGUAAAGUGCGCGUUGGUGGGCUAGCAAGUCAGAUGUGAAAACCUAGGGCUUAACCAUAGAACUGCAUUUGACACUGGUAUUCUAGAGUGUGGGAGAGGUAGGUGGAAUGUAUGGUGUAGCGGUAAAAUGCGUAGAGAUCAAGAAGAAUACUGAUUGCGAAGGCGA
This 369-nucleotide ribosomal RNA is filed under the name uncultured bacterium. RNAcentral describes it as "partial 16S ribosomal RNA". It matches the Rfam family "Bacterial small subunit ribosomal RNA", at positions 338 to 724 of the family's 1533-position model. The record is from RNAcentral.